Molecule: long non-coding RNA, 5106 nt
Organism: Cavia porcellus (domestic guinea pig)
Lineage: Eukaryota; Metazoa; Chordata; Mammalia; Rodentia; Caviidae
Exons: 6
Source: RefSeq, a predicted model, not a curated record
UUUAUGCUACAGCUGCAGAGCAAAGGAAAAUGGCAUCACAGAAGAGCAACUAGCACCUUGGAGCCAGCUGUUUAUGCUAUUUUGUCUUCUUCUCUUUAACCCUCUGAAUCCUGAAUAGGAGUCAAGAGUUUUCUUAAAGAUGAUACUCACUGUGCAGUUCAGACUGGCCUUGAACUCACUAUGUAGCCCAGAGUGGUUGGCCUUGAACUCUCAGCAAUCCUUCUCCCUCAGCCUCCUGGGUGCUGGAAUUAUAGGCAAGCACCACUAUGCUGGAUUGAUUGAGAACCAGUUCAAAUUCUAUAAGAACUGAAGACAGCACUCUCAGUGGGAAUAAAGCUUAGAGUCACGUUGCCUUCCUGAAAAGUGCAAGUUGUGUUUACUUUCUGUUUAGUUUUUACUUUUAUCUCCGACUGGUCAUGUGUGCAGAAAUACCAUCAGUUUUAGAGAAGCUCUUCACAUGUCAUUUAUUGCUUUUAUUUGUUUACACAGACCCAAAGAAGAUACUAAGAUAAAGCAAAAAUAAUGAGUGAGGAAGAUAUAUUUCAUCUUAGAAGAUGUUUCUCAAUAUUGGAAGCAGAGGUAAAGACAAAGGUCAUCAAGUUGUAUAUAUGCGACACUGGAAGCUUUUUGUAUUUCAACCAUAUCUCAUUAAACUGGCUUAGGAAAAGGGUAGAGUCUACAUUGAAUUGGAAAAGAGGAAGAAGCAAAGGAUAUAAACCAUUAGACAAUAUUGCACCACAUGGCCAUCUCAUGAUUCACAAGACAGAGAACACAGAAAGAGUAACAGGCAAAUGUGCAUAGUGCUUCCAUCCUUGAAGUGUAGUGAUGCUAUUCUAGUGAUGGUGUUUCGUGUUUCUUACCUCCUUUCUCCAGACUGGUUGGCCAGCCUUGAAAAUGUGUGGUGCUGCACAGCUACUGGAGUCUCCAUGUUGGCCCCAGAAGAAAUCACAAGUGAAGUUACUGUUCAAGGAGCAAAUGAAAGAUGGCAUCUGUAGCACGUGUUCCAGUGGAGUGAGGAUGUCUGCUGGGACAGUCUGUGGUCCAGAGUUGGAGAGGAUGAGCUUGAUGAGAUCUGAUUCUCUGAUCCUAUGAUAGUCUCCUUGUUUCUUCUCUCCUCAAGUCUCCUUCAGUUUUGUUUAUCCUUCUAUUUCUUCUUUCUUCAUCUAAGAAAGUUGUUAUAGAUCAAACCCUAAGGCCCAAGUGACAUCUUUAUAAAUUCAUAGAUGGUUAAUUUUCCCCACUACUUUGGAUGUGGCUAUUUUAAAAUAACACACACUGCCUAUUUACAUCCCUAAAACUCAGAUAAUUAAGAAGUAUGUUGUUAGAAGAAAGAUCAUUUAUAGCAAGCAAAACAGAGAAAUGAAAUUUAAUUUUUCUGAGUGAAGUUCCUGACAACUCCUGAACACCAUGUGAAGAAAUAGAAAACCUCUCAGUGUCUCUCCUAGACAGGCCUUUGUGCAUAAACUACAUGAUAAUAAAAUAAUAUUUGUGACUCAGAUUUUUUUCUUUUAAGUAUCAAGCUGUCUGGAGAAACAGAAAUAAAACGAGUUGAUGUCUACAGUAUAACUAUUAAGGGAGGCAGUUUGCACCACUGUUAUUUGGAUGUAAUUGGUACUGAGCAUCACAAUGCACUUGUAAUUGGGUCUGUACUUGUUCACUUCAAGAGUUCCAUGUUAUUUCUACUUGAACCCAUUUUUUUGAUACCAUUCAGCUCAGCAGUGCCAGCUAACUCUUGUUAUGCAGUUGAAAAACUGUGGCCAUUAAAAAUAGGAUACGGUGUGAUUUUGUUUUGCAGCACCGCAUGGAAAAUCAGCUGCUGUUCAUAACAGCUCUGUGGUUGGUUGAUUUAAAGCAGGGGGGUGACUUAGAAUUGACAAGCAGACAGUUUGUGAAAAGGGAUAUUGUAUCUUUAAGGCUUUCUGACUGAUUGUGUUUAACUGUGCCACGCAGCAGGCAGUAAUUAGGCUGUACCUUUGUGGAGAGAAGAGACUUAAAGCACUGGCUCGGUUUCUCAGUUCUUCAAAAUUUUUAAAGAGCACAAACAUUUUCGGGAUUUGAAUACAUGAUAAUUAAAAAAAAAAAAAACCUGCUAGUAGUGUGUGAGUGAGCAAAUGAAAAGUCCCCCCCAAGGACUUCCUCUGCAGACUUCUUCUGGGAUCACUAUAUGCCAUGGGGCCCAGGCUCUUGGGAGGCCAGACGGCCACACAGGAAAGCAGGAAGAAGCUUGAUGGGAGCACAGGAUGGCACUGCUGCAGAAGGUCACAGUGCUCUUGAAUUGAGAGACAGUUCUUCUCAUGUGACUCCAUGUCUUCCAGCCCAGUUCACAAUGCUAAUGAGACUCUAGUUGAAACAUGCUACUAAGAUGGGUAGACAAAAUGCCUAAUAAUUUUUAUUUAGGAGAAAUAGAAACUUCCCAUCACCCAGGGGUAUUAAAUAAAAAUAAAUUAUUUUAGAAAUCAAACCAUUAUUUUGUAUAAAACAAUUUAUUAUUUUAGAAAUCAAAUAAUCUAUUAGCUUAAAAGUAUUUUCCAUCCACCAGUCUGCCUUCCUUACUUUCUUCUGAGACCUCUUAAAAUAUCUCCUCGAUGCUUUAGAAAAUAGUGAUUGUCAGCAGUUUGUUAUUAUUUGCUAAAGGUUAAUCUCAGGCUUGUUAUUACAAAGCAGCAGCAGGAGACAGAUUUUACCCUGACCUUAUGAAAAAAUGGGUGCUUGAUUUCUGCAGAGUUGACCAGGGUGACCAUCUUCAUUACCAAUCUGGUGACAAUGGCUGAAUUCCAAUAUAUGUUGGAUGCUGUACGAGUUUAAAAUAGGGCUGGAUAUGUAGUUGUAAUUUAUGCAUAAACUUAUCAUCCUCUUCCUAUUUAUAUAGGUGAAUUAUUCCAUAUAAGUUUGGGUGCCAUUUUAUUCUUAGAUUGCUGUUAUUUUUCUUAUUAAUCCGAUUCCUUUGUUUUUAUCUUUAUUCUGUAAUAUGAAACUAUAAGUGUCUUUGCUUACCAACUCAUAUACUUCUGAUACUUACAAAUGUGUAUGGAUUAUGGACGCAUUAAGUUUUAAAUAAUAAUUUCUCAACUUGUGGCUCAUGAGAGUUUUUGAUGUAUCUUAUCUCGUAGCAUGUAGUAUCGUCCUUCCUACAACAUACUGAGGGAAAAGUGUCUUUUUAGAGGCUCUAGAGUUGGAUGUGAAGGGAACUAAGAUUAGGAAUUGAGUUUUCUGAUUCUUGGCUCUUUUCUGUUAACAGAAACAUACAGAUUUAACUCAUAAUGAAACAUCUUCUAGUUUAAAAAUAAUGGGGACAUUUUGGUACUUUAUUAAAAUGUAGAACAGAAGUUGAAACACAGGAGAAGCACCAGAAAGGAAUACUUUUAAAAAUAUUUUCCUAGUAGUUUUAAACUAAUAUAUUUUUAUCAGAAUUUAAAACAUUCAGUGGCAUGUUUUCUUUUGAUGUUCUUUAUUUUUUAAUUUUCUUUGAAGAUGAGUUACUUUUAUCUGUUGGCUAAACUGCAUUGACAUACUUAUCUUCAUACUUCAUCCUAAAGUCAAUACUUGGAACGUUGAUUUAAAUAAAGUACAUAUGUAUAUCAAACUCUUUGUUAUUAAACACAUUAGGAAUGGGUCCCAUUACUACUUUGAAUGAUACAAAGAUGAAUUUCAGUUCACUGAUCAAAUUCAAAUGUGCGCGUAUACUUUUAUAUACAUUCAUCUCUAAAUGCUGAGGUCAGUAUUUCUAUAAAUUCCUCAGCUUGGCUCAUUUUGUACUAUUGAAAUUGUUUUUUGGGACUGGGAUGUACAGGAGAUCAAAGAUUAAAUUGUGAUUUUUUUCCAAAGUGACAAUGAGUCUAAUUCACUGUCAGUUAAUGCCAGGUGUUUUUUCCCCUCAUAUUAAGUUCUUCAAAACAGUGGCUGCACAGGGCACCAUUCACAGAAGCUCAGUGCUGAGGAGAAAAUGAUUACAUUAAAUCGAAUGAUAUGAAUAAUUCAUGACAUCACAUUUUGUAAUCCUGGUGUUAAGCAUAAAACCAGUGGUUUAUUUUUCAGCAAAAUGUUUUUGUAUCAUUUUAGAUAGAGCAUAAUGCAAAACAAUAACUGCAUACAUAAUGCAAGAAGGAUGGUGGUGAAUAGGGUCCUUAAUAGUGCUUGUAGCAUCAUCUGGGGUGUGAUCACAAUAAACACAUUUUGAGCCAAUGCCCAUGGGUGCUCAAUGUUUGCUGGAAUCUUCUAAGGCCAAUAGAAUGCCUGCCUUUUAAUUUGUUUUUGAAUAUUACACCUGACCUUUACCACAGAUUUGAAAGUCAGUUCUUGUAUACUGCUAAAACUACAAAUCCUUUUGUUCCCUUUUCUUUCAGUUUACUUCGAGGGGAGGGCAAUUCUACUGGGGAAAAUAGCUGAUUUUUUAAAAAAUGAAGUUUGAUUUUUCCAACAGAAAGUUAGAAAUCCUAAGGAAAUUCAGAGUCUUGACUUACAUUUUUCUACAAAGAAUUAAGUCUUUUGGGAGAAAAUGUCAGUAUUCUAGCAACUCAUCCAAGUACUUAAUAGGAAUAUAAUUUAUAUCUGUGACUAAAGAAAUGGUUCCUUUGAUGACUCUUCUUUUUCCUAGAGAAAACAUCUUUUCUUUAUAAUAAUCAAAAAGACUAAGGAUGCUUUUACAACUUUCAUGAAACAAUUUCCAGGUCAUAUAUACUGCAGCAAUACCUUAGCACAAGCCUGAAUUUUCUGCUGCAUUUCAGGCUGAAAUAAUUGUGUACCUGAACCAUCUGCGGCUGGCCUUUCUAGCACCUUCCUGUGGACAGCUCCAGGGCACUCUCUGGAAGCCAGACCAUACUCCUACUGAUUCGCCCAUAUAUUUAUCUUGAACGAAAGAAUGGGAUAUGCCAGUGGAUUUCAGUGCUUUUCACUAACCAUCCACACUGGAAGUCUCAAGAGUUUAUUUCAAGCAUUUGUAUUACUUAAAACUAAUUAAAUAUACUAUUUAUGUUUUACAACAUGAACACAUCUGCUCAUAAUGUUGUAACCUGUAUUAUUGCUAUUUAUUUGAAACAGUACAUUAAUAAUUAAUGUUUGGUAAGUAACUUUAAAAUUCAAUUCUAUUUACAAUAUAUAUUAAUCAUA